RNAcentral lists this long non-coding RNA (965 nucleotides) under Equus caballus (horse). RNAcentral describes it as "lncRNA (ENSECAG00000041542.2)". Lineage: Eukaryota; Metazoa; Chordata; Mammalia; Perissodactyla; Equidae. The record is from RNAcentral.
GCCAGGGGCAGGCUUACAUUGUCCAAAUUAGGCUACCAGGAGCCCAGACCUGUUUAAAACAAAAUCUGUUCUUCUUCACUUACAUUCUCCAUCUUGGUGAAUAAAUUGUUUGACAGAUUAGUUCAAGACACCAGAAAACAUUGGUUUUUUUUUCAUCAAUUUCCCCAUACAGAAGGCACAGGAGAGAAAAGAAUAGGCCUUUUUCCUUCAAGGUAGUAUAGGGACAAUACUUCUGUAACAGGGAUAAUAUUUUACAAAUAUUAAACUAGUACAUUGAAGCCCACCCUUAAACCACAUUUUCUUGCAAGGUUCCACCCCCGAAGACUGAAGCGGGAGGCACAUGGCCCCAGGGAAGCAGCAGAUAAAUAUUGCCUAGAACCAUCUACAAUGCAAACCACAGCAAAACAGUGGCAGGAUUGUCAAGCAUGGCCAGAGAGAAAAUGAUUCUCCAAAUUCCUUUAUGCUGCCCUCUAACAUCUCAAGGGGCAGCCUUUGCCACUCGAUCAGAGUUCUACUUUAUGCCUGAGGAGAAGCAGGCCACGCAGAGGAGAAGUGGGAGGCCCAAAGCCCACUCUUCUGUUCCCAGUGGAUUCUGGGAGGAGGGAGGAAGAAGCAGGGGACACAGACAGUCAGAAAUGCCUCCUUUCCCCUGUUUGAACGUCUACCAGAGUGAGGAGGUGAGAAUCUACAAAGGAAGAUCUAAUGAGUUACAGAGAAAGAAGGAAGCCUCCACGACCGGAAUGCAUCUGGACACGUCUGGCACACUGGCAUGGUGGGCUGGCUGGACAAGUGUUUGGCUGAGAGCUCACAGCUCCUCCCACAAAGAGAUGGAGUCCACUUCCUCACCGAGAAUCUGGGUUGACGUCGUAACUUGCUUUGGCCAAUAGAAUGUGGCAUUAAGUCAUACUGUGCCUUUUCAGAGCCUGGGCCUCAAGAAGCCUUGCACUCUUCUGCUCUUUCUCCUG